RNAcentral lists this non-coding RNA (17 nucleotides) under Mus musculus (house mouse). The record is from RNAcentral. Lineage: Eukaryota; Metazoa; Chordata; Mammalia; Rodentia; Muridae.
CUUUGUCUCUGUAACUC